GACUCAUCCACAAUGACGCUGUGGCUAGGAGAUGGGAACAGCAGGUUACCAGGGUAUGCCACACAUCAAUUAGGAGUUGCAGACUAUAAAUGCAUGGAAAUUUCCAGGAGGCUUGUCUGAUCCAGGUGAAGAUAUUGGUAAGUCCCUAAAUGUUGGGCUAAAUCAAUGAAUGGAGCAAGUGAUCACAACUCCACUGAAGUCCACUGAUUUGUGUCCUUCAAUUUUAGUUGGCUGGAACAGAGAUACAUAAUCCAAAAUAGCUUUGUUGUGACUAGUUUAUCACUUUUUGUAACUGACGGCUAAGAGAUUAAGUGACACGAUCCUGCAUCCUAAAGGCCCCUUCAAGAAGGUGACUAAAGCUUCACCAUAAUCAGAGCAGAAAGCCUGUUUUUGACACAUUUAAACUCAUUCCACAUUUCCACUUAAGCAGUCCUUUCUUAGGCUUGUUGCAUUUUCUAUUCUUAUUAUACCACAUGCAAGGAAGAUGAAUUUGAUUAGUAUAGCACAGAAAUAAAAUUGAAAAUCUUCAAGCACAACCUAGGAUACCAGUGAGCCCAUCAAUAAUAAGAGUAAAAAUCCCUGCUUCCACCUACAUUUACAUGCUUUGUCUGGCUUGUCUGCUUAUAUUGGAAGCUCUUUGAGGCAGCAUCUAUAUAAGCUCUAUGUAAGUCUACCAAAUUGGGCCUCUGCUUUCAGAUGGAGAUGAGGCACUAUUGUAAUACAAAUAAUAAUACUUAAAGAAAGAGAGCUUACACCAAGGGUUGAGGAAAUAAUUCACUUAUAACUAUAUAAAGUAGGUGGUGGUUCAUACUACUGCUUUAGAGGGUAACAGUAUAAAUGAGUUUACAGAUCAGAAGUUUAUGCAAAGUCUAAAAUUAGGAGGGGGAAGAGAGGAGAGAGAGACACAGAGAGGAAGAUGAUACUGUCUCUACAUUUCCUCCUUUCCCCCCAUCCAAAAGGUGCAUAGACUGUAAUUUUAAAUGUAUAUAUGAAAAUAAUUAUGUAAGUGUUGAGUUCAAAAGUUACCUCCAGUGAGCAGUAUUAUGGUUUUUUGUAUUUAUAUGGAGGAAUCUAGCCUUAAGCAGUUACUGUGAGAUUUUUAUCAUCUGUGUUUUUCUGAUGAGUAAACCAAGAAAUAAAGUUACCUGGAGUCAUAAAGAAAGUCUGGCAGCACAAGGAACAGAACCCAACUUUCCCUAAUCCAAUUCUGUAUCUUAAGCACAUGCAUACGAUGUCCACAGUAAUGUCCCAAGUCGUACAUGGUACUAUUGUUAAUGUCCAUGCAGAGAACAGUUUACCAUUGUACGACUUGCCUCCAGCCAUUCAGUACAAUUUCAAAAACUGUUUUAGCACUUUCAUUCAAACAAUUGCCCUUUUCCUGCAUAUUUGCUAGAAAAUUUAUCUUCAUAUUUAGUUGAUGUUUCAAGCAUGUAUCAUUUUGUGAAAUGGAGGUUUAUUUAUCUAAGACAUAUUUAUGUUUGCAGAAGAGUACAGGAUGCUAUGAUUAUAUACUCUGUGCUUUGGGGUAUCUGUCCAUUACUAGUUAAACAAAAAUGGAGAGGAAAGGGUGUGUAAGGCUGUACACUAUGGAUUAUGUAUUAUGAAUUAUUACACAACAGAUGGUAAAAAUAUUGCAGCAUUAGCAACAGCUUCAGUGUAAAAAUACUGUACACAGGAUCCCUGUGAGCAGUGUCCCUCUAAAAUAGGUGAAGCUGUAGUUGUUGUAUAGCGGUGCCAGAAAAUAAAUAACCAGAAAAAAAGAAUGGGAAAAGAGUUUAAACUAAGUUAGACAAAUUCAUGGAGGACGUGUUUACUGAGAGCUAUUGACUAGAACAGUAAUGAGAUGUAUCCUCUGAUAUCCCUAAAACCAAUGACAGUUAAUGACUUAGAGAGUAUGACAGAGGAUAGAUUAUUCUAGAUAUUCCCUGUUCAUAUACUGUCCCUCUAAACAAGUACUAUUUGCCAUGGUCUGAGAAAAUACUGGGCUAAAUGGACCACUGGUCUAACUCCCUACAUUCUACAUUCUCAAAACAUAUUCCUUAAAGUUCCCUUUAAGACACUAUUACAUAAUAUACUACUGAAAUCAGCAUUAGGAAAUAAACUAUAUAACAUCUUGAUAUUUAAAGAUAUAUAAAUUAAUGCAGCAUAAAAUAAAGCAGAGCAGAACUUAGUUUUCAUUAAGCCUUAUAAACUCACAAACAUUUAAGGACCCAACUU
Molecule: RNA transcript, 2217 nt
Organism: Gavialis gangeticus (Gharial)
Lineage: Eukaryota; Metazoa; Chordata; Crocodylia; Gavialidae
Gene: NUDT6
Gene name: nudix hydrolase 6
Exons: 2
Source: RefSeq, a predicted model, not a curated record